AUUAUUUCCUACUUAGGUCAGGAUUGACAACUCUAAAAUCACCCCUUCUAUUCUCAUCGUGUACAAGUGUUUUAGAAUUAUUCAAUGAAGUUUUUUUCUCACAAAGCUGUCUUUGCUUUAUUUAUCCUUAGAUUUUGAAUUAAGUCUUGUGUUUCUUAAUGUCUUGUAUUAGAUCUUAUUUAUUUUUCAAGUGUUUGAUCGUGUAUUAACUUUUUCUUGUGCUACAUGCUGCGUCAGAUGGCAUCAAAGCAGGGAUUUCACCUUAAUUAAGAUGCCCAAUACUGGUAGUAGUAGUGGCAACCAACCUCGUAACGGUGAUCGAGGGUUACAAGUUGUUUAGAGAAUCAUUGACGAACAACGAACAUCUACUCGCAAUAUUGAGAAGUAACCGCUAAAUAUUCGAAAACUAAUGCGAACUUUAUUAGGAGUUGGUGACCAUGAGACUGGGAACAAUGUAUUGGAUUAAGCCAGAAGAAAUAGCCACAGUAGAUUCAACAAUAAACUUGCUUUUUUAAAUCUAGAGAGAGCAAAAGUUGAACAAAGAGAUCAACUUGAAACAGAAAAACAACCUGAAGUUGAAAAUCAUAAGCUUGAAGGAUUUGAGCUUAAAGAAUCUGAAGCUUUGGUUGUAUUGCCUUUUGCUGUGGCGGAUGAUGAUAAGCUUAAAUUGGAUUUUCUUAAACAAUCUACUCUAGAGGGAGAAGUUUAUAUUAAUGAGAUGGAGUAAGAGUAGAUGGAGGAAAAUGUCCAAGGGAUUGAAGAACAACAAACCAUGGAGAUUUCAAUGGGAAUUGAAGACAAACAAUCCAAGAAGACAAUGAAAAUCGAAGAAACUCAAAUUAUGGUAGAGAAUGAAGAUUUUUCUAACUCUUUAAUUUCUAUU
RNAcentral lists this unclassified non-coding RNA (883 nucleotides) under Hevea brasiliensis (rubber tree). The record is from RNAcentral. Lineage: Eukaryota; Viridiplantae; Streptophyta; Magnoliopsida; Malpighiales; Euphorbiaceae.